Molecule: non-coding RNA, 136 nt
Organism: Brachypodium distachyon (stiff brome)
Lineage: Eukaryota; Viridiplantae; Streptophyta; Magnoliopsida; Poales; Poaceae
Source: Rfam
AUGGUACUUCCUCCAUCCAACAAAGGAUGUCUCAACUUUGACUAAAUUUGAAUGCAUCUAUACACUAAGGCAUGUCUAAAUACAUCCAAAUUUUGACAAACUUGAGACAUCUUUUGUUGGACGGAGGGAGUACUUC